CUCUGUCCCCAGGCGCCAUGAGCAAGAUCAGCGAGGCCGUGAAGCGCGCCCGCGCCGCCUUCAGCUCGGGCAGGACCCGUCUGCUGCAGUUCCGGAUCCAGCAGCUGGAGGCGCUGCGGCGCCUGAUCCAGGAGCAGGAGCAGGAGCUGGUGGGCGCGCUGGCCGCCGACCUGCACAAGAAUGAAUGGAACGCCUACUAUGAGGAGGUGGUGUACGUCCUAGAGGAGAUCGAGUACAUGAUCCAGAAGCUCCCUGAGUGGGCCGCGGAUGAGCCCGUGGAGAAGACGCCCCAGACUCAGCAGGACGAGCUCUACAUCCACUCGGAGCCACUGGGCGUGGUCCUCGUCAUUGGCACCUGGAACUACCCCUUCAACCUCACCAUCCAGCCCAUGGUGGGCGCCAUCGCUGCAGGUGCAUGGCCCUGUGGGAAGGGAAGCUGGGGGAGCACCGUCCCCCAGCGUGGAGCCAAGCCAGGAUGGGCUCAGGCCUGUGUUAAGAGUCCUGGGGUCAGAUAAGGGUUUGCUGGGUCUGUCACAGGAGGCUGUGGGGACCAAGCUGUUUAGCCAGGCCUCUUGGUGCCUGAGGUCCAGUCAGGCUCAGGUGUCCACACCU
RNAcentral lists this small RNA (612 nucleotides) under Pan troglodytes (chimpanzee). RNAcentral describes it as "retained intron". Lineage: Eukaryota; Metazoa; Chordata; Mammalia; Primates; Hominidae. The record is from RNAcentral.